CCUACGGGAGGCAGCAGUGAGGAAUAUUGCGCAAUGGGCGAAAGCCUGACGCAGCGACGCCGCGUGAGGGAUGACGGCCUUCGGGUUGUAAACCUCUGUCAGUGGGGAAGAGAACGGACGGUACCCGCUGAGGAAGCAUCGGCUUACUACGUGCCAGCAGCCGCGGUAAU
This 170-nucleotide ribosomal RNA is filed under the name uncultured bacterium. Its description in RNAcentral is "partial 16S ribosomal RNA". It matches the Rfam family "Bacterial small subunit ribosomal RNA", at positions 338 to 524 of the family's 1533-position model. The record is from RNAcentral.